CCAGCCUGGGCGACAGAGCGAGACUCCAUCUCAAUAAAUAAAUAAAUAAAUAAAUAGAUAAAUCCCCACUCUACAGAAGCAGCCACCAAAUACCUCCUUACACAAGCAACCACAUCUAUAAUUCUCAUGAUAGGUAUCCUUUCCAAUAACCUGUCCUCUGGACAAUGAACAAUAAUAAACACUAGUAAUCAAUUUUCAUCCUUAAUAAUAACAGUCCUAGUAAUAAAACUAGGAAUAUCCCCCUUUCACUUGUGGGUCCCAACAGUAACCCAAGGAACCUCUCUAAUGUCUGGCAUACUUCUCCCCACAUGACAAAAACUAGCGCCUAUCUUGAUUAUGUUUCAAAUUUUCCCAACAAUAAACUCGAACAUCCUCCUAUCAUAAUUUUUUUUUUUUUUUAAGUCAGAGUUUUGCCCUUGUCGCCCAGGCUGGAGUGCAAUGGCACGAUCUUGGCUCACUGCAACCUCCACCUCCCAGGUUCAAACGAUUCUCCUGCUUCAGCCUCCUGGGUAGCUGGGACUACAGGUGUCUGCCACCACGCCUGGCUAAUUUUUGUAUUUUUAGUAGAGACGGGGUUUCACCAUCUUGGCCAGGCUGGUCUUGAACUCCUGAACUUGUGAUCCACCCUCCUCAGUCUCCCAAAGUGCUGGGAUUACAGGCGUGAGCCACCACGCCCAGCCUAUCUAUCACAAUCUUAUCCAUUAUUGUGGGCGGUUGAGAACUUAAACACAACUGCGUAAAAUCCUAGCCUACUCCUCAAUUACUCACAUAGGUUUAAUAAUAGCAGUACUAAUUUAUGACCCCAAAAUUACCAUUCUAAACCUGAUUAUUUACUUUAUUUUAACAACUACUGCAUUUCUAGCACUCAACCUGAGUAUAAGCACUGCAGUCCUGUCACUAUCUCAUGCCUGAAACAAAUUAACAUGAUUAACACCUAUAAUUCCACUAAUUCUACUAUCCCUAGGAGGUUUACCCUCAUUAACAGGAUUUUUGCCUAAAUGAGCCAUCAUUCAAGAAUUUACAAAAAACAAUAGUCUUAAUAUCCUGAUCAUUAUAGCUACCAUAACCCUACUCAACCUGUACGUUUACAUAUGCCUAAUUUAUUCCAUCUCAGUGACAAUAUUCUCCACAUCUAAUAACAUGAAAAUAAAAUGACAAUUUGAAAACACAAAACCCAUACUACUCCUCCCCCCAGUUAUCAUUUCUUCUACCCUCCUCUUACCCAUCUCUCCAUUAACACUAACUAUAACUU
Molecule: long non-coding RNA, 1252 nt
Filed under: Homo sapiens (human)
Lineage: Eukaryota; Metazoa; Chordata; Mammalia; Primates; Hominidae
Description: non-protein coding lnc-SLC47A1-6:1
Source: RNAcentral